AAUUUUUUCAUUCGUUCAUUUCGAUUGAUUUGAUUUUGUGAUGGCAGAGGAUAGGAAUUUGUUCGAUAAUUUACGACGGCAGAAAGAUGUUGUGCAAAGUCACAUUGUCGAAAUUGUGGCUUUAUUAAGGAAUGAACGCAAUCAACUGAAAAUUGAAGGCGAUUCAUUGAAUAAUAACUGCGAUCAAUUGAAGGAUCAACGCGAUAAAUUGCGUCAGAAUGUUGAAUUUCUUCUGAACAAGAUGUUGAUCUAGGAAAUUGCUGAUUCCUAUGCCGAUAACUUUUCCGAUAUCACCUGAAGAACAAAUGUGCAUACGUGGCCACAUAUGACGACAAAUUCAAAUAGGGCGAUUUGAUUCGAUUGUUCAUUCAAGGAAGAAUUAAGCCAAAACCAGAAACAAAAAAUGAUUUUGCAUGAGAACAAAUUAUAAAUUUUAUUUUUUUUUUGUAAAUUGUUUUCGACAACUUUCUUUAGUUUUGUUCAAAUUCUUCAACAAAAUUUAAAUAGUAAUAACAUUGUUAAUAAAUUGUAUUUUUUAUUGGCCGACCCUAGUAGAAAAUAGAGACAUCAAGAACAUACAGUGGUCGGAUGCUUGUCAAAAUUCAACGUAAGAUGCUAUAAAAAAGUAAAUAAUUAUGUAAUUUGCUUAAAAUUUGUAAUUUUAA
Molecule: non-coding RNA, 665 nt
Organism: Bactrocera oleae (olive fruit fly)
Lineage: Eukaryota; Metazoa; Arthropoda; Insecta; Diptera; Tephritidae
Source: RefSeq, a predicted model, not a curated record